GGAGCUGCCUCCAGAUCUGGUGCGUUUCUCCCUCCGGGAAUAAAACCCUGAGAUGGAGGAAGGUAACGCGGAGGCUCAGCCUGUUCCCUCCGGCACCCCGGGUGACCCCGCAGCACCGACCGUUCUCCUCCUCUCCUCCUCUGCAGGGUUUUGGACCCACUCGGUCAUUUCCCCCUUCUCCCCUUCCUUAGCGUCGCUACUUCCAUAAGGAUAUGUUUUCUCAUUUAGGCAGUAAGUAUCUCAGUACUCAAUGGUCUAAUUCUGUCUUCUUUCAGGUAAUUGUUUUUCCGCCUCGGGGAUAAAUCCUCUUGCGCUCUGGAGUACAGUUACACCCUCUGCUCAGUUUGAGUGCUUGCGGACAGGUUGGGUGCAGCUCUUCCCUUUUUUUUAGUAACCCCCAGCAGAAAACGUCAUCUGUACCACAUUGCAGCUCAGGAGUUAAACAGUCAAAAUGUUCAGCUCUUUCUCCUAUUAUCUCUCUCCUUGUUGCAUGAAUAACAUGCAACUGGGUUGUUUUUUUUUUUCCAGUAAUUUAUGCAGUAACAUAAAAUCCAUAUGUUGAUCUGUAGAUGUAAAAUGAGUUCCCUUUUAUCUUUUUCAUACCGUGUUUGCUAAAUGAUGCAUCAGGAUCGAUUCCAGCUGGCACAUGACUAUAUAUUCAGGAAAACUCCCUCAGCUUAUGUGAACUAGAUCUAGAUCUGGCACACUGCAAGAGCUCAGACCUCGUGUCAUUAAGAGGCAGAAGAGGAGAGAAAAACAGCUGGGAACGUUAAUGGAGAGAUUUGACGAUUCGGAUAGGACCGUCAGUCCAGUCCAGUCCCGGUCCCGUCGGAAAGCUCAGACGGCCGAUACAAAACGCCAGGGGUCUUGUCAGGGCUCACACCACGUUCUCAUGCCUCACGCUGAUAUACAGAGAAGAACUUCCGUAAGCAGAACAAGUGCCUGAGAAGUCCUUUUUCUCCCAAGUGAGGUGACGGAGUGCUUCCAGCACCCUGGGACUGGUUGGAGUAAAAAAAUGAUACUAAGUGCAAAGCAUAUAUUUUUGUCUUGCAAAAACUGUUGAGAUUUUUCUAAAGCUUGCUUUUCUGUUUGGGGACAAAACAGAGCGCUUUACGAGUUUGUCAGGAAAGAUGAAGGAAGGCAAACGAGCGAUUCUCUCGCAACAGCCUGGUGGCUGGGAUGUUCAUCUUGGGUGUGGGAGAUCGAGGUUGAAGUCAUUGCUGUGUCAUUCCCUCACAUCCUACAUGCUAUUGCCUGUUCCAGGGUGGAUCAGUCUCUCCUCUUGGAGCUGUUCCACCCUCUCUGGUCACUGGAACAGGUGCCUGAACAUGUCUCUCUCUCUCCCUUCUAGGUGAAUGAGUUAUUCACCAGGUAUCUCUUUGGGUCAGUAACUAUUGAACUAUUUCCACUAAAUGGAAUAGCACCAGCGUAGGUGCCUCUUUUUCCUUCUCUUCUUCAGCAGCUGUUAGGACUUUCUCUGUGUUCAGUUUAAGCUGACCUACCUGCUCAAUUCCACCUUUCAUUCUGCUCCCCGAGGCAGAUUUCUGCCUCCACUUUUAUGCCAGCACUUGUGCUCAUCUCACCCUUGGUGAACUGGUUCAGGCAGCUAAACUGGUGGAAAAUGAUUCAUUUUUUUUUGUAGAACUAGCUUUGUGCGAGAUCAGCUCCCUGAAUUGCCUCGCUACAGGGUUAGCUCAAUGCGAGCGCCAGUACAGCAGAGGUGGCAGGCGUGCCGAUGGAUGGCAGGACCAAGGCAGUGCAGCCUUGGAUCAUCUUAAACUGCUGUGGAACUGCAGGCUCAGGCAGAAGUCCCCGCUCCGCCUGGUCUUAACCAUUUGAGUAGGAGUUUGGGGGAGAGGGGGUUCCUUUGUCUCUCAAUGUAUUAACAUAUACUUGAUCCUGGGCCUAAAAAACUUUACCCAGUAUCAUCAAAAUCAGUAAAAUCUCGUGAUGCGAAAUCAGAGUUUUCUGGCCAAAACCUCCAUAUUUCCUCCUAAAAUUUCCUGUCUAGCUGAAGAGAGAAAGAAAGAAUCUGACUCCUAUAACGACUUAUAGCAGAACAAACGAGUAAAGCUCCUGCCCCAGCCCCAAGCAGAUAGGACUACGUGCCUUGUGCUCGCGUUGGUGGCAGAAGUCCUGCAGCACCAUGACAGACUAAAGGCCAGUUUUCUCUCGGGAAUUCUUAGGAUCCCAAAGCACACAUGAAACCAGCCUCAUGACCUCUUAAUGAUGGUCAUGCUCGGGUUACAAUGUUCAGUUCCCUGUGGGCGAAGGAGAGAGAGGGUGUGAGCGCCUGCACGCUCUGCAAAGGAAGAAGGGGGAUGGUGCGGUUGCAAAUUGUUCCCAGCUUCGCUGUGCUGCUGGUGGAAAACUUUCUAAAUGUUGGCUGGCCUGGUGCGUGGCUGCAUUAAAAAUGUGAUAAUUGGUGUGAGUUUACAAUUAGUUUAUUACAAUGAUCUCACUUAAGUUUUUUUGGGGGACGAAUGUCCAAACUUCUCCUGUAUUUUCAGGCGCUAAUAAUUUUGAAGAAUGAGUAACUAUUUGAAUUAAGAUUUCUUCUGUGCAUCUAAACUUGAAAGCAAUCCUUAGAAUAGAACUGUGCAAAGAGCUUGCUUUCAAACUAUGCUGAAAUGCAUCUUUUUAUGUUCUCGUAUGGCAGUUUUUAGAAAUUAGAACUCCGCUUCCAGAAACUAAAAAGAGAAGAUGCAGUCCAGCAGAUCUUAUUCAUGAAAAAUUCCCAAAACCCUUUUAUUCAGUGGGAGUUUCACACUGAGAAAGGCCACAAGAUGAGUGAUCCUGAUGCUGGGUCCAGGCAGCACAGGGAGAAAACCACUGGACUGAAAAGCAGCGGGAGCAAGACCUGAGCGUGUACUGACAGGAACCUGCUAUGAAGAGAGGACCUGGUCCACCGCUGGAUGCUUAAUUUCUUUCGCAGACAUCUGCUCAGACAAGGUGCCAGCUCAGUGAAACUGUAGCCUUGUAGCCAUGCUCUGUACAGUCCGUAUUCAGAGAAAGCCACGUCGUUCAACUUGUGUUCAAGCCAUGGCUGAGUGCAGCCUCAUGGACCGGUAGUACCUGGAAUUCCUCUGAAUGGCAAUGUAAUGUGUGUGUGACUCUUCCUCACCUUCGGAGAUUGAUCCUGCCUCUGUUAAUACCUGCUGAGGAGCGCCUUGCCAGAGCCCACUGGCGGAGAGCCCACCGGCAGCUCCUCCGCUGUGCCUGUCCAUGGCUUCCAGAUCUUGUCUCUAUGGCAACUGAGACGAUCCAUCAGCAGCGGAGCAGCAGAAGACAGGAUCAGUCAAGCUAUUGGGUGACAGAGAAUGAAUAAGUCAAGCAAGUGUGGACCAUAACUGUCUUUGUCUGGGUAUC
Molecule: non-coding RNA, 3369 nt
Organism: Struthio camelus australis
Lineage: Eukaryota; Metazoa; Chordata; Aves; Struthioniformes; Struthionidae
Source: RefSeq, a predicted model, not a curated record